AUACGUAGGUGGCAAGCGUUGUCCGGAUUUACUGGGCGUAAAGGGAGCGUAGGUGGAUUUUUAAGUGGGAUGUGAAAUACCCGGGCUUAACCUGGGUGCUGCAUUCCAAACUGGAUAUCUAGAGUGCAGGAGAGGAAAGGAGAAUUCCUAGUGUAGCGGUGAAAUGCGUAGAGAUUAGGAAGAAUGCGAGUGGCGAAGGCGCCUUACUGGACUGUAUCUGAAACUGAGACUCGAAGGCGAGAGUAACAAACAUGAUAAGAUACCCUGGUGACCCCCGCCGAAAACGAGGACUACUGGGGGUAGGGGUUUUCAUGACCUCUGUGCAGCCGCUAACGCAUUAAGUAUUCCGCCUGGGGAGUACGGUCGCAAGAUUAAAACUCAAAUGAAAUGACGGGG
Molecule: ribosomal RNA, 396 nt
Filed under: uncultured bacterium
Lineage: Bacteria
Description: partial 16S ribosomal RNA
Rfam family: Bacterial small subunit ribosomal RNA
Source: RNAcentral